GCUGGGCAUGGUAGCUCAUGCCUGUAAUCUCAGCAGCUCAGGAGGCUGAGACAGGAGGAUUGCAAGUUCAAGGCCAGCCUCAGCAACUUAGCAAGGCCCUGAGCAACUUAAUGAGAAUCCUGUCUCAA
This 128-nucleotide small RNA is filed under the name Marmota monax (woodchuck). The record is from RNAcentral. Lineage: Eukaryota; Metazoa; Chordata; Mammalia; Rodentia; Sciuridae.